UACGGAGGGAGGUAGCGUUGUUCGGAAUUACUGGGCGUAAAGCGCACGUAGGCGGCGACUCAAGUCAGAGGUGAAAGCCCGGGGCUCAACCCCGGAACUGCCUUUGAAACUAGGUCGCUAGAAUCUUGGAGAGGUCAGUGGAAUUCCGAGUGUAGAGGUGAAAUUCGUAGAUAUUCGGAAGAACACCAGUGGCGAAGGCGACUGACUGGACAAGUAUUGACGCUGAGGUGCGAAAGCGUGGGGAGCAAACAGG
This 253-nucleotide ribosomal RNA is filed under the name uncultured bacterium. Its description in RNAcentral is "partial 16S ribosomal RNA". It matches the Rfam family "Bacterial small subunit ribosomal RNA", at positions 524 to 776 of the family's 1533-position model. The record is from RNAcentral.